UAUGUAUGGCAUCUUCAGUAAAGAAGUUACGAGUAAAAACGUUGACGUUGAAUACCGCUUCCUUGCCGAACCUUAUUAGUGCCUCAUUCAGUAACGUCUCUGGUUUCUCUGUAGGUCUGCCUUCGGGCAAAAUAAACACUCUAAGGAAUUUGCAAAAUGGCAAAGAUUAAAGGUCAGGUUAAGUGGUUCAACGAGUCUAAAGGUUUUGGUUUUAUUACUCCUGCUGACGGUAGCAAAGAUGUGUUCGUACACUUCUCCGCUAUCCAGGGCAACGGUUUCAAAACCCUGGCUGAAGGCCAAAGCGUUGAGUUCGAAAUUCAGGACGGCCAGAAAGGCCCGGCUGCUGUCAACGUAACCGCU
This 360-nucleotide small RNA is filed under the name Pantoea septica. RNAcentral describes it as "cspA thermoregulator". It matches the Rfam family "cspA thermoregulator", at positions 1 to 368 of the family's 428-position model. Lineage: Bacteria; Pseudomonadati; Pseudomonadota; Gammaproteobacteria; Enterobacterales; Erwiniaceae. The record is from RNAcentral.